UGGGGAAUAUUGCACAAUGGGCGCAAGCCUGAUGCAGCCAUGCCGCGUGUAUGAAGAAGGCCUUCGGGUUGUAAAGUACUUUCAGCGGGGAGGAAGGGAGUAAGUUAAUACCUUUGCUCAUUGACGUUACCCGCAGAAGAAGCACCGGCUAACUCCGUGCCAGCAGCCGCGGUAAUACGGAGGGUGCAAGGGUUAAUCGGAAUUACUGGGCGUAAAGCGCACGCAGGCGGUUUGUUAAGUCAGAUGUGAAAUCCCCGGGCUCAACCUGGGAACUGCAUCUGAUACUGGCAAGCUUGAGUCUCGUAGAGGGGGGUAGAAUUCCAGGUGUAGCGGUGAAAUGCGUAGAGAUCUGGAGGAAUACCGGUGGCGAAGGCGGCCCCCUGGACGAAGACUGACGCUCAGGUGCGAAAGCGUGGGGAGCAAACAGG
This 428-nucleotide ribosomal RNA is filed under the name Chloroflexota bacterium. RNAcentral describes it as "Chloroflexi bacterium partial 16S ribosomal RNA". It matches the Rfam family "Bacterial small subunit ribosomal RNA", at positions 355 to 776 of the family's 1533-position model. Lineage: Bacteria; Bacillati; Chloroflexota. The record is from RNAcentral.